RNAcentral lists this ribosomal RNA (415 nucleotides) under uncultured bacterium. Its description in RNAcentral is "bacterial SSU rRNA". It matches the Rfam family "Bacterial small subunit ribosomal RNA", at positions 362 to 798 of the family's 1533-position model. The record is from RNAcentral.
GACGGUGAUGGUUAGUCUGACGAGCAUACCGCGUGAGGGAUGAAGGCCCGUGGGUCGUAAACCUCUUUUUUCAAGGAGGAAGUUCUGACGUGUACUUGAAGAAUAAGCAUCGGCUAACUCCGUGCCAGCAGCCGCGGUAAGACGGAGGAUGCGAGUGUUAUCCGGAAUUACUGGGCGUAAAGCGUCUGUAGGUGGUUUAGUAAGUCGAUUGUUAAAGCUUGGGGCUUAACUCCAAAACAGCAAUGGAAACUGCUAGACUUGAGUAUGGUAGAGGUAAAAGGAAUUUCCAGUGGAGCGGUGAAAUGCGUAGAUAUUGGAAAGAACACCGAUGGCGAAGGCAUUUUACUGGGCCAUAACUGACACUCAGAGACGAAAGCUAGGGUAGCAAAUGGGAUUAGAUACCCCAGUAGUCCAA